AAAGCCAGGGGAGCAAACCGGAUUAGAUACCCGGGUAGUCCUGGCCGUAAACGCUGCAGGCUUGGUGUUGGGCUCUCUUCGAGGGAGCCCAGUGCCGGAGUGAAGACGUUAAGCCUGCCGCUUGGGGAGUACGGCCGCAAGGCUGAAAUUCGUAGGAGGCAGAGCCCCUAUUAUCUGCGUCCUACGGACAGCAGACUUAAAGGAAUUGGCGGGGGAGCACUGCAACGGGAGGAGCGUGCGGUUCAAUUGGAUUCAACGCCGGAAAACUCACCGGGGGCGACGGGCACAUGAAGGUCAGGCUGAUGACCUUACCAGAUUGCCCGAGAGGUGGUGCAUGGCCGUCGUCAGUUCGUACUGUGAAGCGUUCUGUUAAGUCAGAUAACGAACGAGACCCUCGCCCCUAGUUGCUACCUUUCCCUCCGGGGAAAGGGCACACUAGGGGGACCGCCGGCGCCAAGCCGGAGGAAGGGGAGGGCAACGAUAGGUCCGUAUGCCCCGAAUCCCCCGGGCUACACGCGCGCUACAAAGGACGGGACAAUGGGCACCGACUCCGAAAGGAGGAGGCAAUCCCGAAACCCGUCCGUAGUUCGGAUCGAGGGCUGCAACCCGCCCUCGUGAAGGUGGAUUCCGUAGUAAUCGCGGGUCAACAUCCCGCGGUGAAUACGCCCCUGCUCCUUGCACACACCGCCCGUCAAGCCAUCCGAGUCGGGUCUGGAUGAGGGCACCGUUAGUUGCGGUGUUCGAAUCUGGGCUCGGCAAGGAGGGCUAAGUCGUAACAAGGUAUCCGUAGGGGAACCUGCGGAUGGAUCACCUCCUACGC
This 820-nucleotide ribosomal RNA is filed under the name Thermoplasmata archaeon. RNAcentral describes it as "bacterial SSU rRNA". It matches the Rfam family "Archaeal small subunit ribosomal RNA", at positions 707 to 1478 of the family's 1478-position model. The record is from RNAcentral. Lineage: Archaea; Methanobacteriati; Thermoplasmatota; Thermoplasmata.